GGCGGCGAGCGGCGAACGGGUGAGUAAUGUAUCGGAACGUACCCAGUCGUGGGGGAUAACUAUCCGAAAGGAUAGCUAAUACCGCAUACGUCCUGAGGGAGAAAGCGGGGGAUCGCAAGACCUCGCGCGAUUGGAGCGGCCGAUAUCGGAUUAGCUAGUUGGUGAGGUAAAGGCUCACCAAGGCGACGAUCAGUAGCUGGUCUGAGAGGACGACCAGCCACACUGGGACUGAGACACGGCCCAGACUCCUACGGGAGGCAGCAGUGGGGAAUAUUGGACAAUGGGCGCAAGCCUGAUCCAGCAAUACCGCGUGUGUGAAGAAGGCCUGAGGGUUGUAAAGCACUUUCAAUGGGGAGGAACACCUGUCGUCAAUACCCGGCAGCUUGACAUUACCCAUAGAAGAAGCACCGGCUAACUCCGUGCCAGCAGCCGCGGUAAUACGGAGGGUGCGAGCGUUAAUCGGAAUUACUGGGCGUAAAGCGUGCGUAGGCGGUGCGUUAAGUCAGAUGUGAAAGCCCUGGGCUUAACCUGGGAACGGCAUUUGAAACUGGCGCACUCGAGUUGGGUAGAGGGGAGUGGAAUUUCAGGUGUAGCGGUGAAAUGCGUAGAUAUCUGAAGGAACACCAGUGGCGAAGGCGACUCCCUGGACCCGAACUGACGCUGAGGUACGAAAGCGUGGGUAGCAAACAGGAUUAGAUACCCUGGUA
This 707-nucleotide ribosomal RNA is filed under the name uncultured bacterium. Its description in RNAcentral is "bacterial SSU rRNA". It matches the Rfam family "Bacterial small subunit ribosomal RNA", at positions 87 to 792 of the family's 1533-position model. The record is from RNAcentral.